Molecule: ribosomal RNA, 1416 nt
Filed under: uncultured organism
Description: 16S ribosomal RNA
Rfam family: Bacterial small subunit ribosomal RNA
Source: RNAcentral
AACGCUAGCUACAGGCUUAACACAUGCAAGUCGACGUGCAGGAUGGUCUUAGCUUGCUAAGGCCGAUGGCGACCGGCGCACGGGUGAGUAACACGUAUCCAACCUGCCGUCUACUCUUGGACAGCCUUCUGAAAGGAAGAUUAAUACAAGAUGGCAUCAUGAGUCCGCAUGUUCACAUGAUUAAAGGUAUUCCGGUAGACGAUGGGGAUGCGUUCCAUUAGAUAGUAGGCGGGGUAACGGCCCACCUAGUCUUCGAUGGAUGGGGGUUCUGAGAGGAAGGUCCCCCACAUUGGAACUGAGACACGGUCCAAACUCCUACGGGAGGCAGCAGUGAGGAAUAUUGGUCAAUGGGCGAGAGCCUGAACCAGCCAAGUAGCGUGAAGGAUGACUGCCCUAUGGGUUGUAAACUUCUUUUAUAAAGGAAUAAAGUCGGGUAUGGAUACCCGUUUGCAUGUACUUUAUGAAUAAGGAUCGGCUAACUCCGUGCCAGCAGCCGCGGUAACACGGAGGAUCCGAGCGUUAUCCGGAUUUAUUGGGUUUAGAGGGAGCGCAGAUGGAUGUUUAAGUCAGUUGGAAAAGUUUGCGGCUCAACCGUAAAAUUGCAGUUGAUACUGGAUAUCUUGAGUGCAGUUGAGGCAGGCGGAAUUCGUGGUGUAGCGGUGAAAUGCUUAGAUAUCACGAAGAACUCCGAUUGCGAAGGCAGCCUGCUAAGCUGCAACUGACAUUGAGGCUCGAAAGUGUGGGUAUCAAACAGGAUUAGAUACCCUGGUAGUCCACACGGUAAACGAUGAAUACUCGCUGUUUGCGAUAUACAGCAAGCGGCCAAGCGAAAGCGUUAAGUAUUCCACCUGGGGAGUACGCCGGCAACGGUGAAACUCAAAGGAAUUGACGGGGGCCCGCACAAGCGGAGGAACAUGUGGUUUAAUUCGAUGAUACGCGAGGAACCCUACCCGGGCUUAAAUUGCAGAUGAAUUACGGUGAAAGCCGUAAGCCGCAAGGCAUCUGUGAAGGUGCUGCAUGGUUGUCGUCAGCUCGUGCCGUGAGGUGUCGGCUUAAGUGCCAUAACGAGCGCAACCCUUGUUGUCAGUUACUAACAGGUUCCGCUGAGGACUCUGACAAGACUGCCAUCGUAAGAUGUGAGGAAGGUGGGGAUGACGUCAAAUCAGCACGGCCCUUACGUCCGGGGCUACACACGUGUUACAAUGGGGGGUACAGAGGGCCGCUACCACGCGAGUGGAUGCCAAUCCCCAAAACCUCUCUCAGUUCGGACUGGAGUCUGCAACCCGACUCCACGAAGCUGGAUUCGCUAGUAAUCGCGCAUCAGCCACGGCGCGGUGAAUACGUUCCCGGGCCUUGUACACACCGCCCGUCAAGCCAUGGGAGCCGGGGGUACCUAAAGUGCGUAACCGCGAGGAG